UUUUACUGAAGAAAAAUCAACAAUCUCGUCUCUUUGCUUUGCGUCUAAUUUGGGUUUUCCCUUCCCUUCCCUUCCCUUGCCUUCCGCAAUUGGAAUCAAUGGCUAUCGUAGAAGUCUUUCUCGGUGCGUUCCUGAAAGUGCUCUUGGGAAAGAUGGCCUCUGGUGAGUGGUUGGAAUUUCUCCGCCACGAGGGCAUUCAUGCCCAGCUGAGCGAUUGGACCAACCCUCUCUCCCAAAUUCAAGCACUUCUCACUGACGCAGAGGAUAAGCAAUUGACCGAUCGAGUCGUGAACCAGUGACUGGACGAUCUCCAGGAUUUGGCAUAUGAUUUGGAUGAUUUAGUGGACGACUUCUCCACCGAAGCUUUGCGACAGAAGCUAAUGUCUGAGCCACCCUUAGCUAGUUCCAGCAAGGUAUGGAACUUCAUCCCCACUUGUUGUACCAAUUUCAAGCCAACUUCUGUCAUGUUUAAUUUCAAAAUGAGGUCCAAGAUUGAGGACAUCAAUACCAGAUUACACAAUAGUUUUGAACAAUGUUCGAAACUUAAUUUGGUUAAGAUUGUUGGAACCACACCUACACCUACACCUACUAAGACUUGGCAAAAACCAGAGUAAUGAACCUCGCAUUUAUGGGUGAGAACAUGAUCAGAGUAAGAUAAUUGAGCUGCUCGUAAGGGGGAUGAAUCAAGUCAUAGCAACGUUGGUGUAAUUCCCAUUGUGGGUAUGGGUGGGAUUGGCAAGACCACCCUCGCUCAGAUGGUAUACAACCAUGAAACCGUGCAGAAGCAUUUCGAUUUGAAAGUAUGGGUCUGUGUGUCAGAUGAGUUUAACAUUAUGAGAUAACAAAAGCAAUUUAUGAUUUAGUGACUGCCCAAACUUGCAGUUUUAAUAACUUGGAGCAAGCUCAAGUUAAACUAAAGAAUGCUUUGGCUGGAAAGAAGUUCUUAAUUGUUUUAGACGAUGUCUGGAACAAAAAAGACAGUGACUGGAAUGUUUUGAAGAAACCUUUCAAUGAUGGAGCCCAAGGGAGUAAAGUUCUGGUGACUACACGUGACAGAGAAGUUUCAGGAAUGAUGACAACUGUUGAACUUCAUGACAUUAAGAUCCUAUCAAAGGAGGAUUGUUGGUCAUUGUUUGCACGACAUGCCUUCGCGAAUACAAUUAUUGAUGCAUAUCCAAAUUUGUAUCAAUUGGUAAGGAGAUUGUGGAGAAAUGUAAAGUUUGCCUCUGGCUGCUAGGACACUCGGUGGCCUUUUAUGCAGCAAAGUACGAGAUGAGGAAUGGGUAAAUGUAUUGCGUAGUAAAAUAUGGGAUUUACCACACAAAAAAAUUGACAUCCUUCCUGCUUUGAGAUUUACCACACAAAAAUCUGAGACAAUUGUUUAUCACCGGAUGCAAAAAACUGAAGGACUUGCAGCUCUUGCCACACCGAUUGCAGUCCAUCAACUACCUUACUUCUCUUCAAGUUCUGUGGAUGAAUAUUUCACAAUGGAACAACAACUUCAAAAAGAUUGGUUUGCACAGUUUAUCCUCUCUUAAAACACUGUCGAUUUCAAGCAAAGAAGAAGAAGAUCUGGUGGGUUCUAGCUUUCUGAUAGAUAGGCUGUUGUUGCCCACCUCUCUGAUCUAUCUUUACAUCUGGGAUUUCCGAAAUCUGGAGAAGCUAUCUUCUAAGUUGUUUCAAAACCUCACCUCUCUUGAAGAACUUGAAAUUGAUGGUUGCCCUAGGCUCAAAUCUUUACCAGUGCAAAGGCUGCCUCCCUCACUUAAGAGAUUGUGGAUUAGGGGAAGUCGGAAACUAACAGGGAAGUGUGAAAAGGGGAAAGGCAAAUAUUGGCGCCACUUAGCUCACAUUCCUCAAAUCGACGUUCUUGGUGAUGUUGAUGUUGAUGUUGAUGAUGAUGAUGAUAAUGAUGAGUGAUAAGCUCUGUGGAGUCAAAUUGCUAGAAAUGUGCUUUCAAGGAUCUGAAUACAAAGAGAGGCUUCUUCCGAUAGAUUUCCUCGUCUGCUUUUAUUUCUCAAGGGAACCUCAACAAAUGGAAGAGUUCUCAUUUCUUUCCAACUUUGUGCAUUUGUCCUUGGAUAUCCUGUCCAUCUAGUGAUUGUUCGCUAUCCCCAUGUACACUUUGACCAAUCCUGGACAACAUAUCUCUAGUCUGGUCUUGGAUUGAAUCCUGGAUGGCUGAGUCUUGAUUGGUUACAUAACUGUACAAACAUCUCAUUCCUAUGGGGAUAUCAUGUUGCUUGCAAAAACUUCCGCAUCCAAACAGGUCACUUUUCGUGCUCCAUGUGUUUUGGCUUUUAUAGUUUAUCUUGCUUUUAGGUUGGCAAAAAUGAUCUUGUACUUCAUUCAAACAUUCUAUGAAGUGCUAGAUUUGAGCUGUUAACCUUAAUUUGAUGACCUUUUUUGCGAUGGACCAAGAAUAUUUGAUGCAGUUGCAAUGAUGGAAUUUACAUUGUCUCCUUGGAAUCUCAUAAUGUAUUAGGUGUAGGCCUUGAAGCACACCAUUUAACGCUUAUAAUUCCUCUCUUCCAAAAUAAAUAAGUUGAAUUAAUGUUUUUAUUAAUGACUAUUGAUUAAUCUAUAUAUUAUGUAGAAAUUUAAUGUAUAAAAAGAAAUGAUUGUAUUAUUGAUUGAUAUUUUGAUGUAUUACAAGAUUGAUUAAUUACAAUUCCUAUACAAUCUAUAUAUAGAAGAAAAUGUGGUAGUA
This is a non-coding RNA of Camellia sinensis, 2710 nucleotides long. NCBI's taxonomy places the organism in Eukaryota, Viridiplantae, Streptophyta, Magnoliopsida, Ericales, Theaceae. The record is from RefSeq and is a predicted model, not a curated record.